UUCCCGGCGGUACUGCAAUACCAGGUCAAUGCGUGGAGUGGACAGAGCAAGCUCUUUUUCCAUCUCCCUGUUCCAAAAAUCCAUUUAAUAUAUGGUCCCCAGAUAGGGGACGUAUCAGAUAUUAAACUGAUAAGAACAGAUACUACACUUGAUCUUAGCCAUAAGGCCGAGAAGCG
This 176-nucleotide small nuclear RNA is filed under the name Leptodactylus latrans (criolla frog). RNAcentral describes it as "partial U2". The record is from RNAcentral. Lineage: Eukaryota; Metazoa; Chordata; Amphibia; Anura; Leptodactylidae.